AUUGAACGCUGGCGGCAGGCCUAACACAUGCAAGUCGAACGGUAACAGGAAGAAGCUUGCUUCUUUGCUGACGAGUGGCGGACGGGUGAGUAAUGUCUGGGAAACUGCCUGAUGGAGGGGGAUAACUACUGGAAACGGUAGCUAAUACCGCAUAACGUCGCAAGACCAAAGAGGGGGACCUUCGGGCCUCUUGCCAUCGGAUGUGCCCAGAUGGGUUUAGCUAGUAGGUGGGGUAACGGCUCACCUAGGCGACGAUCCCUAGCUGGUCUGAGAGGAUGACCAGCCACACUGGAACUGAGACACGGUCCAGACUCCUACGGGAGGCAGCAGUGGGGAAUAUUGCACAAUGGGCGCAAGCCUGAUGCAGCCAUGCCGCGUGUAUGAAGAAGGCCUUCGGGUUGUAAAGUACUUUCAGCGGGGAGGAAGGGAGUAAAGUUAAUACCUUUGCUCAUUGACGUUACCCGCAGAAGAAGCACCGGCUAACUCCGUG
RNAcentral lists this ribosomal RNA (490 nucleotides) under uncultured bacterium. Its description in RNAcentral is "partial 16S ribosomal RNA". It matches the Rfam family "Bacterial small subunit ribosomal RNA", at positions 30 to 507 of the family's 1533-position model. The record is from RNAcentral.